GAGUUUGAUCCUGGCUCAGAUUGAACGCUGGCGGCAGGCCUAACACAUGCAAGUCGAACGGUAGCACAGAGAGCUUGCUCUUGGGUGACGAGUGGCGGACGGGUGAGUAAUGUCUGGGAAACUGCCCGAUGGAGGGGGAUAACUACUGGAAACGGUAGCUAAUACCGCAUAACGUCUUCGGACCAAAGUGGGGGACCUUCGGGCCUCACACCAUCGGAUGUGCCCAGAUGGGAUUAGCUAGUAGGUGGGGUAAUGGCUCACCUAGGCGACGAUCCCUAGCUGGUCUGAGAGGAUGACCAGCCACACUGGAACUGAGACACGGUCCAGACUCCUACGGGAGGCAGCAGUGGGGAAUAUUGCACAAUGGGCGCAAGCCUGAUGCAGCCAUGCCGCGUGUAUGAAGAAGGCCUUCGGGUUGUAAAGUACUUUCAGCGAGGAGGAAGGUGUUGUGGUUAAUAACCGCAGCAAUUGACGUUACUCGCAGAAGAAGCACCGGCUAACUCCGUGCCAGCAGCCGCGGUAAUACGGAGGGUGCAAGCGUUAAUCGGAAUUACUGGGCGUAAAGCGCACGCAGGCGGUCUGUCAAGUCGGAUGUGAAAUCCCCGGGCUCAACCUGGGAACUGCAUUCGAAACUGGCAGGCU
Molecule: ribosomal RNA, 642 nt
Filed under: uncultured bacterium
Lineage: Bacteria
Description: bacterial SSU rRNA
Rfam family: Bacterial small subunit ribosomal RNA
Source: RNAcentral